RNAcentral lists this ribosomal RNA (497 nucleotides) under uncultured bacterium. RNAcentral describes it as "partial 16S ribosomal RNA". It matches the Rfam family "Bacterial small subunit ribosomal RNA", at positions 28 to 507 of the family's 1533-position model. The record is from RNAcentral.
GAUGAACGCUGGCGGCGUGCCUAAUACAUGCAAGUCGAGCGAACAGACGAGUAUGUUGCUCUUCUGACGUGAUCGUCGUAUGGGUGAGUAACAGGUGGAUAACUUACCUAUAAGACUGGGAUAACUUCGGGAGACCUGACCUAAUACAGGAGAAUAUAUUGAACCGCAUGGUUCAAUAGUGAAAUACGGCUUUGCUAUCACCUAUAGAUGGAUCCGCGCCGCAUUAGCUAGUUGGUAAGGUAACGGCUUUCCAAGGCAACCAUGCCUAGGCGACCUGAGAGGGACAUCGGCCACACUAGAACUGAGACACAGUCCAGACUCCUACAGGAGGCCGCAGUAGGGAAUCUUCCGCGAGGCGCGAAAGCCUGACGGAGCAACGCCGCGUGAGUGAUGAAGGUCUUCGGAUCGUAAAACUCUGUUAUUAGGGAAGAAGUAAUGUGCAAGUAACUAUGCACGUCUUGACGGUACCUAAUCAGAAAGCCACGGCUAACUACGUG